CCUACGGGAGGCAGCAGUAGGGAAUCUUCCACAAUGGACGAAAGUCUGAUGGAGCAACGCCGCGUGAAGGAAGAAGUAUUUCGGUAUGUAAACUUCUAUCAGCAGGGAAGAAAAUGACGGUACCUGACUAAGAAGCCCCGGCUAACUACGUGCCAGCAGCCGCGGUAAUACGUAGGGGGCAAGCGUUAUCCGGAUUUACUGGGUGUAAAGGGAGCGUAGGCGGUUUAGCAAGUCAGAAGUGAAAGCCCGGGGCUCAACUCCGGGACUGCUUUUGAAACUGUUGAACUAGAUUGCAGAAGAGGUAAGUGGAAUUCCUGGUGUAGCGGUGAAAUGCGUAGAUAUUAGGAGGAACACCAGUGGCGAAGGCGGCUUACUGGACUGUAAAUGACGCUGAGGCUCGAAGGCGUGGGGAGCGAACAGGAUUAGAUACCCGAGUAGUC
RNAcentral lists this ribosomal RNA (440 nucleotides) under uncultured bacterium. RNAcentral describes it as "partial 16S ribosomal RNA". It matches the Rfam family "Bacterial small subunit ribosomal RNA", at positions 338 to 795 of the family's 1533-position model. The record is from RNAcentral.